GACCCGGGCCACAGCCCUAGGCCCUCUGCCUCUGGGGGAAAAAUGCUGCUGGCCUAGAGAGAAAGGGCUUGAUGACUUGGCAUAACAAGAAUCAAAGUCAAGGAGACCAAAUAAAAAAUACAAAAAACAAAACAAGCGGGCAUGUUUUCAGUUUUUUCUCCUAUUUGUACAAUAUCUUCGUGACACAUGAGCAUUAGAACAUUCCAGAAGAUGAGUAAUUCAAGUAUUUACUUCAAGAAACUAAAUGCUAAAGUUGGGGAGCCUCCAAGAAAAAGAAAAUGUAAAUCAGUUCCUCACCUGCUACCAGUUGUCUUACCUUCAUCUCCACCAUCUAUCAAAACCCGAUUGGGAAACGAAUUUUUCCACCAAGAAAGCUCUCUCCUGGCAAAUGCCUUACUGGGUAAAGUCCUUGUGAGGCAGAUAAACGAUGAGGAGCAUAUCUGUGGUAGAAUAGUAGAAACUGAAGCAUAUUUGGGCAUGGUGGAUAAAGCUGCUCAUUCAAGUUGUAAACGUUCGGUGCGUACCGAGCCGAUGUUUAUGAAGCCUGGGACUGUAUACGUCUUUUCUAUCUAUGAAAUGUAUCACUGUUUCAACAUCUCGAGCGGAGGCGAUGGGACAGCCGUUCUUUUACGUGCCAUAGAACCCCUUUCUGGAUUAGAACGAAUGCAAUAGAUCCGCUCCGAGUCUCAAAAGAAGUCGUGCCAUCGUCUACCGACACACCAAUUAUGCAACGGCCCUUCUAAAUUGUGCCUUUCGUUUGGUAUCACAAAGGAAUUGAAUAAGGUGGACCUAGCGGAUCCCUCGUCUAUAAUCUGGAUAGAAGACUGGAGUCCUCAACCAGAAUUUGUUACCGUAACAUCGACUAGAAUUGGUUUAAGUAAAAAAGCUGCCGAGUGGAUUGAUGCUCCAUUAAGGUUUUACAUAGCGGAUUCUAAGAGCAACACCAUCAGGAUCGACGGCCAUAUUGAAGGGCCAGAACUCUGUCGAGGCAGUUGCAUCUUCAUCACGCUCUCCAACACUUGACGAAAUAAAGCUGUAAAACACCCAUUUUGCAAGAAAAAAACUCAAACAUGGCUAACACUGCUUCUCAGAAAGAUUUGCUCGAUACUAUUUGGCAUGCUACUCGUGGUUUUAUCGGGAAAGAAUUACUUUUAGAGAGCAAACUCGUACCAGUUCCCUACCUCUCGAAUGCUGAUGAUUUCGGCCUCUUCUCAGUUUUCGUCAAGAGCAAAUCGGAAAACGUAAGUCAAAAGAUUAAGCAUUCGCUGGCGGGUGCUUGUUACCAUGUAAUUGGCCACGUUUCCCAAGUCAUUGAGCUGGAAAAAACUGACCUUGAUCGUUUGUUGAACAGCGCUAAACCACACACAGAAGACGUUGGCAAUCAGUCCGAAAAGUGGGAGAAGGACAUCGAUUUGGGUUCAAAGUCAGUACAUUUGACCGUCGAAGGGCUUCACAAAUUUCUCAUCCCGCUAAAUUUGAGUGAAGGAGACCUUUGUCUGAAGCAAAAUAUUCCUGAUCUGGUCGGCGCCAAAAGCGUGUACAUCAUUACAGAUGUAAUGAAGGCCAGUCGCGUUACAGCAUGUGUUACAAGCGAUGACGACACGAUGGAAAGAGUUUCUGCUGUUUCUGUUCCAAUAGGAUUUGGCUAUUCGAAAUUCCGAUUGACUCCCGAGGGACUCGUUGCUGAACAGAUGAAAUGCAAGCCUGCUAUCCACGGCAAAUGGGUUGUUGUGAUUAAUCAACUCUCCGAAAUCCUCAACAAAUUGUAAGACUCGCAUGCCAUGCUGCUCAAAUCUCAAAUCCUGGUUUCACGGUGUACGACGCUAAAACUGAUUUUCAACAUUUUCAAAAUUAUCUUUUAAACCGUUUUAACAUUUCAAAACGUUCCUACUAGCGGUAUUUUCAAAAUUUUUACUUACUAACUCGUUACUUUCGACUCGUUCUGUUACUGUCACACGCCGUCCCAUUCGCCAUAUUUGUGUGUCCUAUUCGAGUUCAAUAUUUUAAUUACAAAUACCUCACAAUGUUUUGCAAACCUAA
Molecule: small RNA, 2040 nt
Filed under: Daphnia magna
Lineage: Eukaryota; Metazoa; Arthropoda; Branchiopoda; Diplostraca; Daphniidae
Description: uncharacterized LOC116917309
Source: RNAcentral